This 286-nucleotide long non-coding RNA is filed under the name Nicotiana benthamiana. RNAcentral's name for it is "long non-coding RNA (NBEN_LNC037612)". The record is from RNAcentral. Lineage: Eukaryota; Viridiplantae; Streptophyta; Magnoliopsida; Solanales; Solanaceae.
AAAACUCCAAUCAAGCUACCGAAAUUCACCAGAAACUGCCCCUUUCAUCGCAAAAUUCCACUGCCCAUAACCUCCAGAACUCCCAUAAGCAACAAAAAUUACAGCACAAUAGUUGCGAAAAAUUGCCAAAUCUCCCCUAGAUAAACAUCCUCUCUCCAGCAGCAACACAUUCAUUCCAAUAUAAACACAUAAAUAACAACCAAUUAUUUGAAUCAGCUGGCAAUUUUAAGGAUAAUUUUAUUCCAAAAAAAUUAGAGAAGUAAAAGUGAUAUAAGCCCAAACUCAU